Molecule: long non-coding RNA, 372 nt
Organism: Leopardus geoffroyi (Geoffroy's cat)
Lineage: Eukaryota; Metazoa; Chordata; Mammalia; Carnivora; Felidae
Exons: 3
Source: RefSeq, a predicted model, not a curated record
CGCCUCCCAGCUGCCCUCCCAGCCAGAAGUGGUCCAGCCAAGGCUGCCCGGCUGGCAGAGGCCUCCCGGGGCGCUCCUGAUUGACAGGAUGCUAAAUGCAAGAGGUUUCCUGCGAUAAAGAAAGAGAUUUUCUUGAAGCAUUCAACUCCUGACCUUUAAGAGCUUGGGGAGCAAAAUGAUUUUCAGUCACUUGGGCCUGAGUGAAAGAACCUCUCGAAUGUCUCGAAUAUGGCCCCCACCAGAGUACUACCUUCCCCCGGUAUCCCACUCUGGUGUGCCAUGAGCGAACGUUUUAACAAUAACCCCAAGACAGCAUGCCAGGGAGUUAUCCACGCCAGCUGAGGAGCCCUCCCCACCGGCCAGCGGCCAGCA